This 408-nucleotide ribosomal RNA is filed under the name uncultured bacterium. Its description in RNAcentral is "partial 16S ribosomal RNA". It matches the Rfam family "Bacterial small subunit ribosomal RNA", at positions 28 to 526 of the family's 1533-position model. The record is from RNAcentral.
GACGAACGCUGGCGGCGUGCUUAACACAUGCAAGUCGCACGGAGUGGCGAACGGGUGAGUAACACGUGGGUGACCUGCCCUGCACUUCGGGAUAAGCCUGGGAAACUGGGUCUAAUACCGGAUAGUGGGGGAUGGCCCCGGGGCCUAUGCGCUUGUUGGUGGGGUAAUGGCCUACCAAGGCGGCGACGGGCAGCCGGACUGAGAGGGUGGCCGGCCACAUUGGUACUGGGAGACGGACCAGACUCCUACGGGGGGCAGCAGUGGGAAAUAUUGCACAAUGGGCGGAAGCCUGAUGCAGCGACGCCGCGUGGGGGAUGACGGCCUUCGGGUUGUAAACUCCUUUCACCAUCGACGCGGUAGAUGGAGAAGAAGCACCGGCUAACUACGUGCCAGCAGCCGCGGUAAUUC